This 1117-nucleotide long non-coding RNA is filed under the name Anas platyrhynchos platyrhynchos (common mallard). RNAcentral's name for it is "lncRNA (ENSAPLG00000024726.1)". Lineage: Eukaryota; Metazoa; Chordata; Aves; Anseriformes; Anatidae. The record is from RNAcentral.
AUGUUCCAAUCUCUGGUCUUCAAGAUUUCUUCACCUAUUAAGAAAACACAAAAACCUUUCCCCGUCUUUAUUACCUGUACAGCAAAAAACAUACCAGUGCGUAUAAAUCCACAGAUGUGCAUACGCAUACACACAUCUGUGUUUAUACACACACAAGGAGGGAAUGAGAGAAAGUUAGCAAGAGCGACAGUGAAACUCAGAAUUUUUGCCUUUUUGACACAGAGAGCGUGUAAAAAUUCUCUCAUUUUGAGGGAACUAGAAAAAAAUGGAGGCUCUACAAAAGAUUUUGAUGAGUAUGCCUUCGAGGCCAAUGCUUUGUAACAUGAGUGAUCUGGGGGCCAGCACACAAAUAUGCAGACGUAUGUACAUGCAUACAGGAUAAACAUAUCUAUACACACAAGCGUGCACAGUAUAUGUUGUAUUAUCUCCAUAUCGAGAACAACUCGUAGCCCUGAUCAGACACGUAGAGUUGCAAUCGAUUAACAGCAGGAAGACAGCAGAUCAAGGGUACAGCAAGCUUUGAGAGGCAGGGGAAUGCUCACUUUGCCAGUGGCAUGGCUGCAUGAUACCAAGGAUUUUGAAUUAGUUGGAUUUUUUGGAAGCAAUUUGGUUUUUCUUUCUGCGCUGUAGCAAAUACCACAGGUUUGCCAUCACGUGCUGUUCCCUAAUCCAUAUAUCCAUCAUCAUCCACUGCUGCAGGAUCAUGAAAGGUUAGAGAAGACGACUUAGGUCCAAUUUAACAGCCAAUGAUUUUUUGAUGAACAGAGCUGCAACAGAUUUUAUUUAGCCACAAGCAUUUUUUUUUCUUUUUUCUGAUAUGAAGUCAGAAAUUUUGAUUUUUUUUUUUAAAGACACUAAAUGUCACAAAACCUGCAACCAGACCAGAUAAAGUUCAAAUUAAAGUGAUUCUGAAUCCUUUCAUUAAAACGCUGCACAUUUCUGUGCAAAUUAUUUCUGACUCUUCUGGACAAAAGUGGAUGAAAAUAGUUCUUACAAAUUAAUAACAAAAGGUUGGAACCUUUUACUCACACAAACACUAGUGAAUUUUCCAGGAAAUACUUUUUUGGCAGGGAAUUUUCCCAAAUCUAAAAUAAAGAGAGGAAAAGUUGGGUUCUCA